AUGCCCUACAAUUUCUCCAAUAACCAAACUACAAUCUUCUACGGUGGCAGUCGAUGCAAUUUUGAUUCCAUGACGCCUCAUGACACCAGAGCGAAUGUCAUAACACCUCUUGAAUCAACCAAGAAUGUUAUGAAGGGUGACAGUGUCACAUUCUCCUGUAACUACAGUGGAUCUAUAAGUGCACUACACUGGUAUCGUCAGUAUCCCAGAUCUAAACCUGAGUUCCUCCUAUUCAUAACGGAAUCUAACGGCACUGGAGAAGUUCCCUCACGCAUGUCUUCUCACACCACCAAAGACACCAAGCAUGUGUUCCUGGAGAUCUCCUCUGUUGAAGUCUCUGACUCGGGUCUCUACUACUGCGCCCUGCAGCCCACAGUAACAGGAAAUACACAGGUGCGGUACAAAAACCUCAUCAGUACAUGA
Molecule: non-coding RNA, 423 nt
Organism: Clupea harengus (Atlantic herring)
Lineage: Eukaryota; Metazoa; Chordata; Actinopteri; Clupeiformes; Clupeidae
Source: the annotation of a RefSeq genome assembly